Cricetulus griseus (Chinese hamster) is the source of this 463-nucleotide non-coding RNA. The record is from RefSeq and is a predicted model, not a curated record. Lineage: Eukaryota; Metazoa; Chordata; Mammalia; Rodentia; Cricetidae.
AAACAGUAUUUUAUUCAACAGUCAAUAAGAUAAACAUACAAAGAAGUGCAUUCCCCAUCAAGAGCCCUGCUUAGGAAUGUGAUCAUGUGAGGGUAAUUCUAAGUACUUAUGAGAAAAUUCCAAGGAAACGGGACAAGAGUUUUAAGACCUCAGUUUUUUCAAAACACAGAACUGUGAGCCAGGCAUGGUGCAAGCCUUUAAUCCCAGCACUUGGGAAGCAGAGAGUAUUAAUUGAUGUCCUGGAUGAAGUUGGCUACUGCAUGAGACUUUAUUCUGCCACAUUUAUCGUCUCCAUUCUUCCAUGUCCCACCACCUCUAGAGCAGUGACAAGUGGUAUCUGAAGUGGUAUCUGAAGAGGAAUCUGGUCAAAUACUUGAUAACAGCGUGGGGACCCUCACAGAAGCAUGGUCUUGACCCCUUUGCUCAUCACUCCUCCAUCUCUACAACUGGAUUCAAGGAGUUC